AGGAAAGGGAGGGAUUC
This 17-nucleotide transfer RNA is filed under the name Elaphoglossum burchellii. RNAcentral describes it as "partial tRNA-Ser". RNAcentral also lists the same sequence under 15 other names. The record is from RNAcentral. Lineage: Eukaryota; Viridiplantae; Streptophyta; Polypodiopsida; Polypodiales; Dryopteridaceae.